GAAUAUAUGCUUCUCGCUAACAAACAACAAUUUGCAUAAACGGUAUGUCUAAAAAAACAUAUUUUAUAAGGUUCCUAAACAUACAUAGUUCAGACUAUUAUGCUUCCACCAUGACAAGUGGAUUUAUAUUGAUCAAUACAUCCUAAUACUUCUCAAACUUGUCCUUCAUACUUCUUGCUUGUUUCAGUACUUUUAGAAUUAUACAAAGACUGCAGAGACUAGAAGAAAUUAGGGAACCACUCUCUUUGAUGAGGAGAAGGAGAAGUAGAUGAAAUGAGAGAUUGCUACAUUUUUCAUCACUCGUGACUGCAGGCUGCAGCUCUUACCUGUUACAAUCAAUAAUAUCACGGCCAAACAAAAUCGACAAUACAGAACAACAACUAGAGCAGUUAAUCUAAUUAUUCAAACUGACCCAAAAUGUGACAGAAAAGAGGAGCUUUCGACACCAGAGAACUUCGCUCUCUUUCUGAGCACUUCAGCUUGAUCUUCCCCUUGUCCUCAAUUACUCCAUUUCUUAGCUCUGUUUCUUCUCCUCCAUGUGUCAUCUCAGUAGCAAGUCUGGCGUCACUCAUCCCUUAGCCAUCCAAAAAACUGUAGUAUGUAGCAAUACCUGCAAUUAAAGAACAAAUUAACAAAAGGUAGGACAGAGAAACCACCACUGAAAAUCUGAGAAUUUAUUGAGUAUUAUAAUCAUGAACUCCAGUCUUUCUUUUUCCAUUACCGAUAUACAUGGUAUAUGACUCUCAUUUAGUCCAUUAAACACAUCAACUCUUCUAGACAACAGAACUAACCUAAGUACACCAAACCUAUAGAUAUUAAUUUUCUCUACAACUCUAAAUAUCUUUUGUUGUCAAUUGGCUCUCAUAUCAAAUUUACACUUCCUACACACAUAAAAAACAAACAUCUUCACCAUUUAUUUCAAAUUCAUAUGCAACAAUUCCCAUUACACUAGCAUAAUCUAAUCAUCUAAAUACAAAAAUUGCAGACAUCAAUACAUAAUUAGCAACCAAUUCAUCAAAAACUAAUUUUUGCCAAAUUCAAAAACCCCCAAUACCAGGAAAGAGAACAAAGAGUUGUAAAGUCAUCUCCAUUUUGAACAUCAAUACUAAUUUCAAAUCGUGAUUUUGUCUCUUCAAAACUGAAAAACCAUCUUCUAGAAGGGGGGAGAGAGAGAGAUAGAGAGAGAGAGAGAGCUUCUUUUACCAUCCUUAAAAAUCACGAUGGUUGUAGACAGUGUAUGAGAUCUGAAGAGAAUCUCAACGAUGACGGCAACAACGGAGAUCGAUGAUGACGACAAAUCUGAAGAGAAGGUCAACGAUGACGGUGAUGGCGAAGCUCGAUGAUGACGACGACGGCGAAGCUCAACGAUGAUGACGACGACGGUGAAGCUCAAUGACAAGGAUAGAAGAAGAUGUCUGCGUUGCUUU
RNAcentral lists this long non-coding RNA (1427 nucleotides) under Capsella rubella. RNAcentral describes it as "long non-coding RNA (CRUB_LNC004258)". The record is from RNAcentral. Lineage: Eukaryota; Viridiplantae; Streptophyta; Magnoliopsida; Brassicales; Brassicaceae.